This 253-nucleotide ribosomal RNA is filed under the name uncultured bacterium. Its description in RNAcentral is "partial 16S ribosomal RNA". It matches the Rfam family "Bacterial small subunit ribosomal RNA", at positions 524 to 776 of the family's 1533-position model. The record is from RNAcentral.
UACAGAGGGUGCAAGCGUUAAUCGGAAUGACUGGGCGUAAAGGGCACGUAGGCGGAUAGAUGUGUCAUAGGUGAAAUCCCCGGGCUCAACCUGGGAACUGCCUGUGAAACUGUGUAUCUAGAAUAGAGUAGAGGUAAGUGGAAUUUCCGGUGUAGCGGUGAAAUGCGUAGAUAUCGGAAAGAACACCAGUGGCGAAAGCGACUUACUGGACUCAUAUUGACGCUGAGGUGCGAAAGCGUGGGGAGCAAACGGG